CGCUGAGUUUGAUCCUGGCUCAGAUUGAACGCUGGCGGUAUGCCUUACACAUGCAAGUCGAACGGUAGGGGGAGCAAUCCCCUGAGAGUGGCGAACGGGUGAGUAAUACAUCGGAACGUGCCCAGUCGUGGGGGAUAACGUAGCGAAAGCUACGCUAAUACCGCAUACGACCUGAGGGUGAAAGCGGGGGACCGUAAGGCCUCGCGCGAUUGGAGCGGCCGAUGACAGAUUAGGUAGUUGGUGGGGUAAAGGCCCACCAAGCCUGCGAUCUGUAGCUGGUCUGAGAGGACGACCAGCCACACUGGAACUGAGACACGGUCCAGACUCCUACGGGAGCAGCAGUGGGGAAUUUGGACAAUGGACGCAAGUCUGAUCCAGCCCAUUCCCGCGUGCAGGACGAUGGCCUUCGGUUGUAAACUGCUUUGUACAG
This 430-nucleotide ribosomal RNA is filed under the name uncultured Sphaerotilus sp. RNAcentral's name for it is "bacterial SSU rRNA". It matches the Rfam family "Bacterial small subunit ribosomal RNA", at positions 1 to 442 of the family's 1533-position model. The record is from RNAcentral. Lineage: Bacteria; Pseudomonadati; Pseudomonadota; Betaproteobacteria; Burkholderiales; Sphaerotilaceae.